GAGCCUUUGCGGCAUGGGAUGGGGUCGCGUCCUAUCAGCUUGAUGGCGGGGUAACGGCCCACCAUGGCUUCGACGGGUAGCCGGCCUGAGAGGGCGACCGGCCACAUUGGGACUGAGAUACGGCCCAGACUCCUACGGGAGGCAGCAGUGGGGAAUAUUGCACAAUGGGCGCAAGCCUGAUGCAGCGACGCCGCGUGAGGGAUGGAGGCCUUCGGGUUGUAAACCUCUUUUGUUAGGGAGCAAGGCACUUUGUGUUGAGUGUACCUUUCGAAUAAGCACCGGCUAACUACGUGCCAGCAGCCGCGGUAAUACGUAGGGUGCAAGCGUUAUCCGGAAUUAUUGGGCGUAAAGGGCUCGUAGGCGGUUCGUCGCGUCCGGUGUGAAAGUCCAUCGCUUAACGGUGGAUCCGCGCCGGGUACGGGCGGGCUUGAGUGCGGUAGGGGAGACUGGAAUUCCCGGUGUAACGGUGG
RNAcentral lists this ribosomal RNA (470 nucleotides) under Bifidobacterium breve. Its description in RNAcentral is "bacterial SSU rRNA". It matches the Rfam family "Bacterial small subunit ribosomal RNA", at positions 202 to 684 of the family's 1533-position model. The record is from RNAcentral. Lineage: Bacteria; Bacillati; Actinomycetota; Actinomycetes; Bifidobacteriales; Bifidobacteriaceae.